This 253-nucleotide ribosomal RNA is filed under the name uncultured bacterium. Its description in RNAcentral is "partial 16S ribosomal RNA". It matches the Rfam family "Bacterial small subunit ribosomal RNA", at positions 524 to 776 of the family's 1533-position model. The record is from RNAcentral.
UACGUAGGGGGCAAGCGUUGUCCGGAUUUACUGGGCGUAAAGAGCGCGCAGGCGGUCGUUCAAGUCGAGUGUGAAAGCCCCCGGCUCAACUGGGGAGGGUCACUCGAUACUGAUCGACUCGAAGGCAGGAGAGGGAAGCGGAAUUCCCGGUGUAGUGGUGAAAUGCGUAGAUAUCGGGAGGAACACCAGUGGCGAAGGCGGCUUUCUGGCCUGUUCUUGACGCUGAGGCGCGAAAGCUAGGGUAGCAAACGGG